Molecule: ribosomal RNA, 253 nt
Filed under: uncultured bacterium
Lineage: Bacteria
Description: partial 16S ribosomal RNA
Rfam family: Bacterial small subunit ribosomal RNA
Source: RNAcentral
CACGGGGGGAGCAAGCGUUGUUCGGAAUCACUGGGCGUAAAGGGCGUGUAGGCGGUCAGGUAAGUGGGAUGUGAAAGCCCCCGGCUCAACUGGGGAGGGUCACGCGAUACUGAUCGACUCGAAGGCAGGAGAGGGUAGUGGAAUUCCCGGUGUAGUGGUGAAAUGCGUAGAUAUCAGGAGGAACACCGGUGGCGAAGGCGGUGGUCUGGGCCGGCACUGACGCUGAGGAGCGAAAGCGUGGGUAGCAAACAGG